RNAcentral lists this ribosomal RNA (869 nucleotides) under Cantharellus appalachiensis. RNAcentral describes it as "LSU rRNA". It matches the Rfam family "Eukaryotic large subunit ribosomal RNA", at positions 83 to 960 of the family's 3401-position model. Lineage: Eukaryota; Fungi; Basidiomycota; Agaricomycetes; Cantharellales; Hydnaceae. The record is from RNAcentral.
GCUACUGCGAGUGAAGAGGGAAGAGCUCAUCAUUGGAAUCUGGCAGCGUCUCGCUGUCCGAGUUGUAGAUGAGAAGAGUGGGCCAUCUGGACUGCAUGGUGUCCAAGUACAAUAGGCCGUCAGUGGGACAUCAUAGAGGGUGACAAUCCCGUCCUUGACACCAAUGUACGAGUCCUUUUACGAUGCCUAUCUCGGAGAGUCGAGCAGUUUGGGAUUUGCUGCUUAAACAUGGGAGGUAGAUUCCUUCCAAAGCUAAAUACAGGCAAGAGACCGAUAGAGAACAAGUACCGCAAGGGAAAGAUGAAAUAGAACUCUGUGAAGGGAGUCAAAAGACGUGAAAUUGUUGCGAGAGAAGCGAUUCAAGUCAGCGUAGCUGGGCCCAUCAAGCCUCGCGCUUUGGACCAGCUUUGCCAGCGGUCUUGUCCUAGAGACUCGACUAAGGUGCCCUGCCCGGUCUGACGGGCAGACCUUCCCCCCUGGGGGAGGCCAGCGGCACGGCUGGUGGAAUGGCUUGCAAUCGACCCGUCUUGAAACACGGACCAAGGAGUCUAACAUGCAUGCGAGUAUAAGGGUGGCAAACCCGUAUGCGCAAAGAAAGUGAUAGCCUUUACGGCUGUGAAUGACCUGAUGACCAGACAAGCGAUAUCAUGUCCCUCGUACGGUCAUUGCCCAAGUCCCGUGGUCAGAUCCCAUGGACAUGGAGUUGGAGCGUGCAUGCUAGGACCCGAAAGAUGGUGAACUAUGCCUGGACAAAGCGAAGCCAAAGGAAACUCUGGUGGAGGCUUGUAGCGAUUCUGACGUGCAAAUCGAUCGUCUGAUCUGGGUAUAGGGGCGAAAGACUAAUCGAACCAUCUCAUAGCUGGUUCUGC